UUCAGAAAACCUGCAUGGCACAUCCUGGG
RNAcentral lists this non-coding RNA (29 nucleotides) under Mus musculus (house mouse). Lineage: Eukaryota; Metazoa; Chordata; Mammalia; Rodentia; Muridae. The record is from RNAcentral.